RNAcentral lists this ribosomal RNA (560 nucleotides) under Nodipecten subnodosus. RNAcentral's name for it is "partial 16S ribosomal RNA". It matches the Rfam family "Bacterial large subunit ribosomal RNA", at positions 1805 to 2610 of the family's 2925-position model. Lineage: Eukaryota; Metazoa; Mollusca; Bivalvia; Pectinida; Pectinidae. The record is from RNAcentral.
UUACAAAAACAUGGCUCCCCGGGUAACAUGGGGAGUCGUGCCUUCCCGGUGAGUCUGCGGGCUUAAACGGACGCGGUAAAGCGUGCUAAGGUAGCUAAAUUAUGGCCUAUUAAUUGUAGGUCCUGUGAAUGGUUUGACGAGUCUUCAACUGUCUCUAGUUUUUUUGGUGAACUUGAAUUGGAUGUGCAAAUGCUUCCAUGGGUAAGAAAGACGAGAAGACCCCGUGAAGUUAGAAAUUUUGGUUGUUGGUGAGCUUUGUUGGGUGUAGGUUAGGCCACUUUAAGUGGUUUGAAAGAAAAGUGAACAGCGAUAGUUUUGGCUGGGGCAGCAAAGAAGCAAGGUUAGACUUCUUUAGUUUAAGGACAGGUGUGUGACGACCCACAAGUUUGUUGGUGUGAUUAGCAGAAGAAGUUACUCCGGGGAUAACAGCGUAAUCUGCCUUGAUAGUUCUUAUAGAUGGGCGGGUUUGCGACCUCGAUGUUGGCUCUGGAUAUCCUAAGGCUUGCAGGCGGUCUUUAGGGUUGGUUCGUUCGCCCAUGAAAAUCUGACGUGAUCUGAGU